UAGGGAAUCUUCCGCAAUGGACGCAAGUCUGACGGAGCAACGCCGCGUGAGUGAAGAAGGAUUUCGGUUCGUAAAACUCUGUUGUUAGAGAAGAACAGCGCAUAGAGUAACUGUUAUGCGUGUGACGGUAUCUAACCAGAAAGCCACGGCUAACUACGUGCCAGCAGCCGCGGUAAUACGUAGGUGGCAAGCGUUGUCCGGAUUUAUUGGGCGUAAAGCGAGCGCAGGCGGUCAAUUAAGUCUGAUGUGAAAGCCCCCGGCUCAACCGGGGAGGGUCAUUGGAAACUGGUUGACUUGAGUGCAGAAGCGGAGAGUGGAAUUCCAUGUGUAGCGGUGAAAUGCGUAGAUAUAUGGAGGAACACCAGUGGCGAAGGCGACUCUCUGGUCUGUAACUGACGCUGAGGCUCGAAAGCGUGGGUAGCAAACAGG
Molecule: ribosomal RNA, 429 nt
Filed under: Bacteroidota bacterium
Lineage: Bacteria; Pseudomonadati; Bacteroidota
Description: Bacteroidetes bacterium partial 16S ribosomal RNA
Rfam family: Bacterial small subunit ribosomal RNA
Source: RNAcentral